Molecule: ribosomal RNA, 440 nt
Filed under: uncultured bacterium
Lineage: Bacteria
Description: partial 16S ribosomal RNA
Rfam family: Bacterial small subunit ribosomal RNA
Source: RNAcentral
CCUACGGGAGGCAGCAGUAGGGAAUAUUGCUCAAUGGGGGAAACCCUGAAGCAGCAACGCCGCGUGGAGGAUGAAGGUUUUCGGAUUGUAAACUCCUUUUGUUAGAGAAGAUAAUGACGGUAUCUAACGAAUAAGCACAGGCUAACUCCGUGCCAGCAGCCGCGGUAAUACGGAGGGUGCAAGCGUUACUCGGAAUCACUGGGCGGAAAGAGCGCGUAGGCGGGAUAGCAAGUCAGAUGUGAAAUCCUAUGGCUUAACCAUAGAACUGCAUUUGAAACUGUUAUUCUAGAGUAUGGGAGAGGUAGUUGGAAUUCUUGGUGUAGGGGUAAAAUCCGUAGAGCUCAAGAGGAAUACUCAUUGCGAAGGCGACCUGCUAGAACAUAACUGACGCUGAUGCGCGAAAGCGUGGGGAGCAAACAGGAUUAGAUACCCUUGUAGUC